UGGGGAAUAUUGCACAAUGGGCGAAAGCCUGAUGCAGCAACGCCGCGUGCGGGAUGACGGCCUUCGGGUUGUAAACCGCUUUCAGCAGGGACGAAGGUUUUCUGACGGUACCUGCAGAAGAAGCACCGGCUAACUACGUGCCAGCAGCCGCGGUGAUACGUAGGGUGCGAGCGUUGUCCGGAAUUAUUGGGCGUAAAGAGCUUGUAGGCGGUCCGUUGCGUCGGAAGCGAAAACUCAGGGCUUAACCCUGAGCCUGCUUUCGAUACGGGCGGACUUGAGGGAUGUAGGGGAGAACGGAAUUCCUGGUGGAGCGGUGGAAUGCGCAGAUAUCAGGAGGAACACCAGUGGCGAAGGCGGUUCUCUGGACAUUUCCUGACGCUGAGAAGCGAAAGCGUGGGGAGCAAAUCAGGCUUAGAUACCCUGGUAGUCCACGCCGUAAACGGUGGGCACUAGGUGUGGGACCCAUUUCCACGGGUUCCGUGCCGUAGCUAACGCAUUAAGUGCCCCGCCUGGGG
This 515-nucleotide ribosomal RNA is filed under the name uncultured bacterium. RNAcentral's name for it is "partial 16S ribosomal RNA". It matches the Rfam family "Bacterial small subunit ribosomal RNA", at positions 355 to 878 of the family's 1533-position model. The record is from RNAcentral.